This 75-nucleotide transfer RNA is filed under the name Caudoviricetes sp. Its description in RNAcentral is "tRNA-Glu". It matches the Rfam family "tRNA". From Rfam's summary of the family: Transfer RNA (tRNA) molecules are approximately 80 nucleotides in length. Their secondary structure includes four short double-helical elements and three loops (D, anti-codon, and T loops). RNAcentral also lists the same sequence under 1 other name. The record is from RNAcentral. Lineage: Duplodnaviria; Heunggongvirae; Uroviricota; Caudoviricetes.
GGUGCGAUGGUCAAGUGGUUAAGAUGGUGCCCUUUCACGGCGUCGGCUCGGGUUCGAAUCCCGAUCGCAUCCCCA